Molecule: ribosomal RNA, 253 nt
Filed under: uncultured bacterium
Lineage: Bacteria
Description: partial 16S ribosomal RNA
Rfam family: Bacterial small subunit ribosomal RNA
Source: RNAcentral
UACGUAGGUGGCAAGCGUUAUCCGGAUUUAUUGGGCGUAAAGGGAACGCAGGCGGCCUUUUAAGUCUGAUGUGAAAGCCUUCGGCUUAACCGGAGUAGUGCAUUAGAAACUGGGAGACUUGAGUGCAGAAGAGGAGAGUGGAACUCCAUGUGUAGCGGUGAAAUGCGUAGAUAUAUGGAAGAACACCAGUGGCGAAAGCGGCUCUCUGGUCUGUAACUGACGCUGAGGUUCGAAAGCGUGGGUAGCAAACAGG